Gavialis gangeticus (Gharial) is the source of this 108-nucleotide long non-coding RNA. RefSeq lists it as uncharacterized. The transcript has 3 exons. Lineage: Eukaryota; Metazoa; Chordata; Crocodylia; Gavialidae. The record is from RefSeq and is a predicted model, not a curated record.
GGGAUUUUUGGCCCCAAAAUCUUGCAAAGAAAUAAUUUUUUUUGCUACUAUUUAGUUGGCCUAAUAAAAGAUAUGGCUUCUAGCCCAAGAGCUUUGUCUGUUUCAAAA